This 827-nucleotide ribosomal RNA is filed under the name uncultured Bacteroidota bacterium. Its description in RNAcentral is "bacterial SSU rRNA". It matches the Rfam family "Bacterial small subunit ribosomal RNA", at positions 68 to 896 of the family's 1533-position model. Lineage: Bacteria; Pseudomonadati; Bacteroidota. The record is from RNAcentral.
GAUACUUUCCAGCUUGCUGGAAAGGAAAGUGGCGCACGGGUGCGUAACGCGUAUGCAACCUACCUUAAUCAGGGGGAUAGCCCGAAGAAAUUCGGAUUAACACCGCAUAAAAUCACAGUAUAGCAUUAUACAAUGAUCAAAUAUUUAUAGGAUUAAGAUGGGCAUGCGUGACAUUAGCUAGUUGGCGGGGUAACGGCCCACCAAGACCACGAUGUCUAGGGGAUCUGAGAGGAUGACCCCCCACACUGGUACUGAGACACGGACCAGACUCCUACGGGAGGCAGCAGUAAGGAAUAUUGGUCAAUGGAGGCAACUCUGAACCAGCCAUGCCGCGUGCAGGAAGACAGCCCUCUGGGUCGUAAACUGCUUUUAUUCGGGAAUAAACCUAUCUACGUGUAGAUAGCUGAAUGUACCGAAGGAAUAAGGAUCGGCUAACUCCGUGCCAGCAGCCGCGGUAAUACGGAGGAUCCAAGCGCUAUCCGGAUUUAUUGGGUUUAAAGGGUGCGUAGGCGGCUUAUUAAGUCAGGGGUGAAAGACGGUGGCUCAACCAUCGCAGUGCCUUUGAUACUGAUGAGCUUGAAUAUACUAGAGGUAGGCGGAAUGUGACAAGUAGCGGUGAAAUGCAUAGAUAUGUCACAGAACACCGAUUGCGAAGGCAGCUUACUAUGGUAUUAUUGACGCUGAGGCACGAAAGCGUGGGGAUCAAACAGGAUUAGAUACCUGGUAGUCCACGCCCUAAACGAUGAAUACUCGCUGUUAGCGAUAUACAGUUAGCGGCUAAGCGAAAGCGUUAAGUAUUCCACCUGGGGAGUACGCUCGCAAGAGUG